UACAGAGGUGGCAAGCGUUGUUCGGAAUUACUGGGCGUAAAGGGCGCGUAGGUGGCCUUCUUAGUCAGACGUGAAAUCCCCAGGCUUAACCUGGGAACUGCGUCUGAUACUGGAAGGCUCGAGUUCGGGAGAGGUGAGUGGAACUGCGAGUGUAGAGGUGAAAUUCGUAGAUAUUGGGAAGAACACCGAUGGCGAAGGCAGCCAUCUGGACCGACACUGACGCUGAGGCGCGAAAGCGUGGGGAGCAAACAGG
This 253-nucleotide ribosomal RNA is filed under the name uncultured bacterium. RNAcentral describes it as "partial 16S ribosomal RNA". It matches the Rfam family "Bacterial small subunit ribosomal RNA", at positions 524 to 776 of the family's 1533-position model. The record is from RNAcentral.